This 1484-nucleotide ribosomal RNA is filed under the name marine metagenome. RNAcentral describes it as "bacterial LSU rRNA". It matches the Rfam family "Bacterial large subunit ribosomal RNA", at positions 809 to 2488 of the family's 2925-position model. The record is from RNAcentral.
UUGUGGGUAGGGGUGAAAGGCCAAUCAAACUUAGAGAUAGCUGGUUCUUCGCGAAAUUUAUUGAGGUAAAGCGUUUGUUCAAAGUCAAAAGGGGUAGAGCACUCAUGAAGCUAUGGGGGUCCAAAGCCUUACUGAUCUUCUUGAAACUCCGAAUACUUUAUGACUCAAAGAAAAACAGUCAGACUUAAAGUGCUAAGGUUUUAAGUCAAAAGGGAAACAGCCCAGAAUGUUUGCUAAGGUCCUUAAACAAUAAGUAAGUGGAAAAAGAAGUUUUGUUCCAAAGACAACUAGGAAAUUGGCUUGGAAGCAGCCAUUUUAUAAUGAAAGCGUAAUAGCUCACUAGUCGAGGAAGAAAGCGCUGACAAUGUAUCGGGGCUCAACUUAUUUACCGAAGCAACAUAAACAUGGUAGCGAAGCGUUUUGUAAACCAAUGAAGAUAUUUUGUGAAAAAUAUUGGAGGAUUCAAAAGUGAGUAUACUGACAUGAGUAACGAAAAAUCAUGUGAAAAUCAUGAUCGCCGUAAGUUCAAGGGUUUCUGCGAUCUGGUGUUCAGCGCAGAGUGACUCGGCUUCUAAAUUUGCUGUGAAAACAGUCAAGUGAUGAAUUUCAUUAAACUGACAAAUGAAUACAAAAAAAGACACCAAAUUGGAUAGGUGCUUUUGUUGUUUGAUUUCAGGAAAAGGUUUAAUGUGUGAUGACCGUACCCAAAACCGACACUGGUGAACAAGUCGAAUAGACUCAGGCGUUGAGAUAACCAUGCUGAAGGAACUCGGCAAAAUAUUCCCGUACCUUAGGAAGAAGGGAAACCAAAACAUUGGUGACACAAAAUUGAGGGUGACGACUUUUUACUAAAAAAUUAGGACUCUGCAAAAUGGUAACAUGAAGUAUAGGGUCUGACGUCUGCCCGGUGCUAGAAGCUUAAGAGAAGACUUGCAAGAGUUGAAUUGAAGGCCUAGUAAACGGCGGUUGUAACUAUAACAAUCAUAAAGUAGCGAAAUUCCUUGCCAGCUAAUUCCUGGCCUGCAUGAAAGACGUAACGAUUGCCCUACUGUCUCCAGCAUGGACUCAGUGAAAUUGAAUUUUCCGUGAAGAUGCGGAAAUCGUGCCCCAAGACGAGAAGACCCUAUGCAUCUUUACUGUACAUUUACAUUGAAGAAAGAAAUCAAGUAUGUAGGAAAGGUGGGAGUCCAUACACCCUUGAAAUACCACCUUCUGGGUUUCUUCAUUCUCAUUUGAAUUCAAAAAAAGUGUAAAUGAGGCAGUUUGACUGGGGCGGUCGCCUCCUAAAGAGUAACGGAGGCGUGCGAAGGUAAACUCAAUGGAAGUUGGAAACUUUCUGUAGAAUGUAAUGGUAAAAGUUUGCCUGACUGCAAGACUAAACAAGUCGAGCAGAGACGAAAGUCGGCCAUAGUGAUCCAAAAGUACCGUGUGGAAGGGCUUUUGCUUAACGAAUCAAAGAUACGCUAGGGAUAACAGGCUAAUAA